This is an RNA transcript of Cucumis melo (muskmelon), 3385 nucleotides long. It is a transcript of the gene named presenilin-like protein At1g08700, with no coding region annotated. The transcript is spliced from 3 exons. The record is from RefSeq and is a predicted model, not a curated record. NCBI's taxonomy places the organism in Eukaryota, Viridiplantae, Streptophyta, Magnoliopsida, Cucurbitales, Cucurbitaceae.
CAAUUUAACAAAGUCUACAGUGGUGACAGAGUAGAGACAUAAAUUUUCCUUUUCUUCCUCCCUCCUCGCUAGUCGUUGAAAUGGCAAUCCAAACUCUGAAUCUCUAAUUUUAUCUCAACUGCUCGACGUCGCCGGAAUCCACCGCCAUGGAAUCGAGCAUACUGGAGACGAUCGGCGUGGAGAUUAUCGGCGUCAUGUCUCCGGUUUCAAUCUGUAUGCUUCUCGUCGUUUUAUUGGUCUAUUCCCUCUCCUCCGCCGACCCUCUCGCCUCCGCUCCGAUUCGCACCGCCGCGAAUCUUGUCUACCUCGAGAGCCCUUCUGAUUCCGCUGGUCAGAAGCUCGAAGGUGCUCUUCUCAAUGCCUUGGUCUUCGUUAUUCUCAUCGCCCUUGUUACUUUCCUUCUCUUUGUUCUUUAUUACUACAACUUUACCAAUUUCUUGAAGAAUUACAUGCGAUUUUCUGCGUUUUUCGUCCUUGGUUCCAUGGGAGGCUCCAUCUUCUUGUCUAUUAUCCAGCAUUUUUCUAUACCGGUUGAUUCCAUUACUUGCUUGAUUUUAUUGUUCAACUUUACGGUGGUGGGUGUGCUGGCGGUGUUCUCAGGAGGAAUCCCUAUCAUCAUGAGGCAGUCGUAUAUGGUGUUUUUGGGGAUAAUUGUCGCUGCUUGGUUCACGAAGCUACCUGAGUGGACUACUUGGAGUUUGCUUGUAGCCUUGGCUCUUUAUGAUUUGGUGGCUGUUCUAGCUCCUGGUGGACCUCUUAAGCUGUUGGUAGAGUUGGCCUCGAGCAGGGACGAAGAGCUUCCAGCUCUCGUUUACGAGGCUCGGCCUACAGUGUCAAGGGGUCCUGAGAAUCGAGGGGGAUUGGGACUUUUGGUUGCUGGGGUCUCAGAUUCUGGAUCAAUAGAGCUUCAGGCACAUUCAGAUAACAAUUUCAACCGUAAUGGGGAUGAAAACCUUCAUAAUUCUGAUCGCCCUGCUGCUGGCAAUCAGAAUUUUCGGAGGGAAGAGGUUGAAAGAAAUGGAGAUGAAGGGGAAAGGUCGCCAUUAGUAAGUUACAGUCGAGAAAGACACUCAUCAGAUAGUGGAUCAUCUGGUUAUUCAACCGGAGUUCUUACUCCAGAAAUGCGACGACACUUGGGCAACAGAGAAACUGAAAUCCAUAUAGAUGGGGAAUUGUCUCCUCUGGUUCAACUGCCAAGUUCGCAAACCCAGAUAGAAGUGGAAAGGGUUGCCCAAACUGAGGUUACAAGUAGAGGUAUUAGGCUUGGUCUUGGGGACUUUGUGUUCUACAGUGUCCUCGUUGGUAGAGCUGCAAUGUAUGAUCUUAUGACAGUUUAUGCUUGUUAUCUCGCUAUCAUCUCUGGACUUGGAUGCACUCUCAUUUUGUUAUCAGUUUGUCAUCGAGCUCUGCCUGCACUUCCCAUAUCUAUCACUUUGGGUGUCAUGUUUUACUUCUUGACUCGUUUUCUUGGAGACUGGUCUAUGUAUAGACUACGGAAUGUGCAAAACUUUGUUUUCUUCCUUGAUCAUGGAUUGUAGUAGAAACCGAACACGAAUGAGGAUGUCCUUAUCUUGUUCUUUCAAAAAACUAUCAACUCAUUCCACCUAGGGAUACUCCUAUAUCCUUGUAUGGAUGGAUGGAAGAAGAUAUUUGCAACGUGGGCUUAUGUUCAGGAUUCUUCUACUUCUCAGAAAUUCUCUGUAUCAGGUUUGUUUAACCUUAGCUGCGUCUUGUAAACUUAAACGUCCAACUCUUCUAGGUCACUAUAGAUUAUUGGAGCAAGUAAAUCAGGGCAAUAUAAUUGUAGUUUACUGGUGAAGUUAAGUACUAAUAGUUGAUUAGUUUAGGGUUAAAAGUAUACUUCACGUCCAUAUAUUUUACAUUUUUUUCUUAUGGAAGCAUUAUUACUUGAUACGUUUUCUUAUGGAUAGCUAUCUAAGUUGAUGAAUAUGAUCUAUGACUUGAUUUAUGCAUUAUCACAUGAUAUGUUUUCUGUUUAAUGUCUUCCGUGAUUAUAGGAUAGAAGUUCUAUCUUUUCUCAUUCGAUGCCUGAUGGAUGUAUACUUGGACGUGGCAACAUCUAAAGGUUUAGGGGGUAAUUAGUUAUCGAUAAAAACAAAUAGUUGAGUUGGUAAUAAUUAUAGAGAAGUUAUUGAGGGAGUUGACACGAAUAACAAUGUGAGAAAUGUGAGAAAUUUGAGUUGAUAUGAAUAACGAGAUAGUAAACCUCUUUAAUUAUUGGUGAACCAAAGUGAAGGUUUUUUUUAUCCAGUCAACCAAACUCUCCCAAAUACUCAAGUUGUCAAACACCCAUUAAUGUAUAAAAGGCAAGUUCACAGGACAUUGAUCCUACCAUAAGGCUCUUCCUUCUUUUAAUCUGUCCUUGGAUGUUGAAUUCCAGUUGCUUUUGGUCUCUAAGCUAAUCUAACAAUUUAGAUCUUCUAGUUGGUCAUGAUAUAGAUCACCUUUUAAUUCUCUAACAAUUUAGUAUAUGUUGAUCUUAAUAACAGAGAUUAUGGUUUAGUCUAUGGUCUCUCAAUUUAAGAUUUAAUAAUUUAAAAGUUUCUUUACCAUUCCGCAUGUUGCAGGAUCUAGUGGUUUGUCCCAUGAGUUAAGAAGCACGGAUAUGGAUACAAGACACGGAUACGAUACAGGCUCAAGAACACCAUAUUUUGAAAAUCUAGGACACGCAGGACAAGAAAACGUUUAUUAAUAUAUAUAUAUAUAUAUAUAUAUUUUCUUUAGAUAGGAAACGAACUUCAUUUACAUAUGAAAUUUACAAAAUGGGGCCGAAGCCCAAUCCAAUGGAGUUACAUAAUUGGAGUCAAAAGGGAAGGAGUGCGAGUGCAUUUACACCGGGACAUAACAUGAAAGAUAUUAAGAUCAAAAUGGCUACCAAAAGAGCUUUCCUUAUCAGUGAAAAGAAGCUUGUUUCUCUCCUUGCAUGUAAUCCAUAAGAAAGCACAAAUCAGAUGCAUCCACAUACUUUCUUCUGCUUGAUAAAUGGGUGGUCGUUGAGAGCAUACGUGAGGAAGUCUUGUUAUAUCAUUUGGAAGGGUAGUGUGCCAACCAAAGGUAAGGGAGAGUUCCCGAGAUGGUUAGGUGUAUCAACCAGAUUUACACAUAUAACAAUGAGGAGAAAUGGCCAUGUAGGGAGAGCGGAUUUGCAAUCUAUCACUAGUAUUGAUGGCCUUGUGAUUAACUUCUCAGAGGAAGAAUUUGAUAUUUUCAGGGUAGUUGUCCUUCCAUAUAACAUCGUAGAUUUUUUAAAAUAUAUAUUAUUGUUAUAGUAAAAGAAACUUCAUAGUAAAUGAGUUGAUGCAUUUAUAUGCUUUAGAAAAUUUGGCUUCAUGUAUCUUAUGAUUAAAAGUUAUUUUUAUUGUCA